This 952-nucleotide long non-coding RNA is filed under the name Astyanax mexicanus (Mexican tetra). RNAcentral describes it as "lncRNA (ENSAMXG00005004907.1)". The record is from RNAcentral. Lineage: Eukaryota; Metazoa; Chordata; Actinopteri; Characiformes; Acestrorhamphidae.
AUGACACAAAUCUUAAAUAUGUAUAUUUAUUUUACAGUUGCAAACAAACAGACCCCCAUCACUGCCACAAAUCCCACUCUCUCCACCCUCAGUUCAGCAGAGAAGCCUUAUUUUACCACCAUGGGAAAAACAAUGGACACGUCUACGACUCUCGGACAGACCACCUUUACAACGACACACACAGUUGCCACAACAGCAGAAACUUCCCAGAACACAACUCUGAGGACCACAACAAAGGAGGAGGAGCCUAUGACCACAACCGAUAGUGUAACACUUUCCUCGUCCAGUACACUGACAGACAGAGAAAAUCUGACCACAAUGUCCUUACAGUCCACCAGUUCAAGCAACACCAGCACCACCGUCCCCACCCUUAAAACCAGCACCAACGCCAGCACCGCCAUCAUACCCAGCUCCGCCAUCAUACCCAGCACCGCCAUCUUACCCAGCACCACCAUCAUACCCAGCACCGCCAUGAUACCCAGCACCGCCAUCAUACCCAGCACCAACACCAUUACAGGACCCAAUAAUGGUGAAAGCCUAUCUUCUAAAGCUGUGGGAGGAAUAGCUGCAGGAACAGUAUUACUGCUGAUUGUUGUCGCUGGGUCAGCGGCAGGAAUAUUUAUCUUGUGUAGACGACAAGAUGUCAGCAGCACAGCGGUGGAGAUGAGACAGCCCCCCGGCUCGGAUCAACCCCUGUUAGACACACACACUGCAACCUUACUUACCAGCUGCCCAGACUCUGCCCAAAAUCCCAAAACAGACCCAUUAAUUGUUGUUCAGCAGGCAUAAUCCGUUGGACGUCUUUUUUUUUUUUUGUGAAUGCUUUUGCCAUGUAUAUGUGUGUGUGUGUGUAUAUAUAUAUGUAUAUGUCUGUAUGUAUAUACAAAAAUACAGUUGUAUGUUUUUCAUAAACAUAAAACUAAAUAAUAAAGUUAAGUUCUUGUAAAGUUCA